AUGAACGCUGGCGGCGUGCCUAAUACAUGCAAGUCGAGCGAACGGACGAGAAGCUUGCUUCUCUGAUGUUAGCGGCGGACGGGUGAGUAACACGUGGAUAACCUACCUAUAAGACUGGGAUAACUUCGGGAAACCGGAGCUAAUACCGGAUGAUAUUUUGAACCGCAUGGUUCAAAAGUGAAAGACGGUCUUGCUGUCACUUAUAGAUGGAUCCGCGCUGCAUUAGCUAGUUGGUAAGGUAACGGCUUACCAAGGCAACGAUGCAUAGCCGACCUGAGAGGGUGAUCGGCCACACUGGAACUGAGACUCGGUCCAGACUCCUACGGGAGGCAGCAGUAGGGAAUCUUCCGCAAUGGGCGAAAGCCUGACGGAGCAACGCCGCGUGAGUGAUGAAGGUCUUCGGAUCGUAAAACUCUGUUAUUAGGGAAGAACAUAUGUGUAAGUAACUGUGCACAUCUUGACGGUACCUAAUCAGAAAGCCACGGCUAACUACGUG
This 496-nucleotide ribosomal RNA is filed under the name uncultured bacterium. RNAcentral's name for it is "partial 16S ribosomal RNA". It matches the Rfam family "Bacterial small subunit ribosomal RNA", at positions 29 to 507 of the family's 1533-position model. The record is from RNAcentral.